AGUAAUGUCGGAAAUACCUAUUGAACCUCAAAGUACUAAAGCUAUCAUUGAAUCAA
RNAcentral lists this transfer RNA (56 nucleotides) under Bigelowiella natans. Its description in RNAcentral is "partial tRNA". Lineage: Eukaryota; Cercozoa; Chlorarachniophyceae. The record is from RNAcentral.